GAUGAACGCUGGCGGCGUGCCUAAUACAUGCCAGUCGAGCGAACGGACGAGAAGCUUGCUUCUCUGAUGUUAGCGGCGGACGGGUGAGUAACACGUGGAUAACCUACCUAUAAGACUGGGAUAACUUCGGGAAACCGGAGCUAAUACCGGAUGAUCUUUUGAACCGCAUGGUUCAAAAGUGAAAGACGGUCUUGCUGUCACUUAUAGAUGGAUCCGCGCUGCAUUCGCUAGUUGGUAAGGUAACGGCUUACCAAGGCAACGAUGCAUAGCCGACCUGAGAGGGUGAUCGGCCACACUGGAACUGAGACACGGUCCAGACUCCUACGGGAGGCAGCAGUAGGGAAUCUUCCGCAAUGGGCGAAAGCCUGACGGAGCAACGCCGCGGGAGUGAUGAAGGUCUUCGGAUCGUAAAACGCUGUUAUUAGGGAAGAACAUAUGUGUAAGUAACUGUGCACAUCUUGACGGUACCUAAUCAGAAAGCCACGGCUAACUACGUG
RNAcentral lists this ribosomal RNA (497 nucleotides) under uncultured bacterium. Its description in RNAcentral is "partial 16S ribosomal RNA". It matches the Rfam family "Bacterial small subunit ribosomal RNA", at positions 28 to 507 of the family's 1533-position model. The record is from RNAcentral.